This 459-nucleotide ribosomal RNA is filed under the name uncultured bacterium. Its description in RNAcentral is "partial 16S ribosomal RNA". It matches the Rfam family "Bacterial small subunit ribosomal RNA", at positions 338 to 795 of the family's 1533-position model. The record is from RNAcentral.
CCUACGGGAGGCAGCAGUGAGGAAUAUUGGUCAAUGGCCGGGAGGCUGAACCAGCCAAGUCGCGUGAGGGAAGACGGCCCUACGGGUUGUAAACCUCUUUUGUCAGGGAGCAAGGUGCAGGUCGGGACCUGCUGUGAGAGUACCUGAAGAAAAAGCAUCGGCUAACUCCGUGCCAGCAGCCGCGGUAAUACGGAGGAUGUGAGCGUUAUCCGGAUUUAUUGGGUUUAAAGGGUGCGCAGGCGGCAGCAUAAGUCCGCGGUAAAAUCGCGGGGCUAAACCCCGCCGAGCCGUUGAAACUGUGUGCCUUGAGUGCGCGGAGGGUAGGCGGAAUGCGUGGUGGAGCGGUGAAAUGCAUAGAUAUCGCGCAGAACUCCGAUCGCGAAGGCAGCCUACCGGCGCGCAACUGACGCUGAGGCACGAAAGCGUGGGGAUCGAACAGGAUUAGAUACCCGAGUAGUC